Molecule: ribosomal RNA, 301 nt
Filed under: uncultured bacterium
Lineage: Bacteria
Description: partial 16S ribosomal RNA
Rfam family: Bacterial small subunit ribosomal RNA
Source: RNAcentral
CAGUAGCCGCGGGAAUACGUAGGGUGCGAGCGUUAAUCGGAAUUACUGGGCGUAAAGCGUGCGCAGGCGGUUAUAUAAGACAGAUGUGAAAUCCCCGGGCUCAACCUGGGACCUGCAUUUGUGACUGUAUAGCUAGAGUAUGGCAGAGGGGGGUAGAAUUCCACGCGUAGCAGUGAAAUGCGUAGAGAUGUUGAGGAAUACCGAUGGCGAAGGCAGCCCCCUGGGCCAAUACUGACGCUCAUGCACGAAAGCGUGGGGAGCAAACAGGAUUAGAUACCCCGGUAGUCCCUGUCUCUUAUAC